RNAcentral lists this ribosomal RNA (465 nucleotides) under uncultured Klebsiella sp. RNAcentral describes it as "bacterial SSU rRNA". It matches the Rfam family "Bacterial small subunit ribosomal RNA", at positions 338 to 795 of the family's 1533-position model. Lineage: Bacteria; Pseudomonadati; Pseudomonadota; Gammaproteobacteria; Enterobacterales; Enterobacteriaceae. The record is from RNAcentral.
CCUACGGGAGGCUGCAGUGGGGAAUAUUGCACAAUGGGCGCAAGCCUGAUGCAGCCAUGCCGCGUGUGUGAAGAAGGCCUUCGGGUUGUAAAGCACUUUCAGCGGGGAGGAAGGCGUUAAGGUUAAUAACCUUGUCGAUUGACGUUACCCGCAGAAGAAGCACCGGCUAACUCCGUGCCAGCAGCCGCGGUAAUACGGAGGGUGCAAGCGUUAAUCGGAAUUACUGGGCGUAGAGCGCACGCAGGCGGUCUGUCAAGUCGGAUGUGAAAUCCCCGGGCUCAACCUGGGAACUGCAUUCGAAACUGGCAGGCUAGAGUCUUGUAGAGGGGGGUAGAAUUCCAGGUGUAGCGGUGAAAUGCGUAGAGAUCUGGAGGAAUACCGGUGGCGAAGGCGGCCCCCUGGACAAAGACUGACGCUCAGGUGCGAAAGCGUGGGGAGCAAACAGGAUUAGAUACCCCUGUAGUC